AGUGAACGCUGGCGGUAGGCCUAACACAUGCAAGUCGAACGGCAGCACAGUAAGAGCUUGCUCUUACGGGUGGCGAGUGGCGGACGGGUGAGGAAUACAUCGGAAUCUACUUUUUCGUGGGGGAUAACGUAGGGAAACUUACGCUAAUACCGCAUACGACCUACGGGUGAAAGCAGGGGAUCUUCGGACCUUGCGCGAUUGAAUGAGCCGAUGUCGGAUUAGCUAGUUGGCGGGGUAAAGGCCCACCAAGGCGACGAUCCGUAGCUGGUCUGAGAGGAUGAUCAGCUACACUGGAACUGAGACACGGUCCAGACUCCUACGGGAGGCAGCAGUGGGGAAUAUUGGACAAUGGGCGAAAGCCUGAUCCAGCCAUACCGCGUGGGUGAAGAAGGACUUCGGGUUGUAAAGCCCUUUUGUUGGGAAAGAAAAGCAGCAGGUUAAUACCCCGCUGUUCUGACGGUACCCAAAGAAUAAGCACCGGCUAACUUCGUG
This 492-nucleotide ribosomal RNA is filed under the name uncultured bacterium. Its description in RNAcentral is "partial 16S ribosomal RNA". It matches the Rfam family "Bacterial small subunit ribosomal RNA", at positions 29 to 507 of the family's 1533-position model. The record is from RNAcentral.